Molecule: long non-coding RNA, 532 nt
Organism: Eleginops maclovinus (Patagonian blennie)
Lineage: Eukaryota; Metazoa; Chordata; Actinopteri; Perciformes; Eleginopidae
Exons: 2
Source: RefSeq, a predicted model, not a curated record
GUUGGCAGCUCAGAGGAUAGAAAGAGGAGAGGAGGAGAGCAGGAGCAGAGGACGGAGGACAGAGGAAGGAGGCAGAGACAUCACCAGAGACAGACGAGGGGGAACGAUUUGUGCUGGAGCAGGACAUCAAAACACUACAGAAACAGUUCCUGAUUUGACCGGAUUUGGAUGAAGGCUGGAGACUACACCGCAACAGAACCAGUGAAGUGAAGUAUGCACUGCUGGGAAUCACAGGGCUGAUGCUCACAUGAUUUCCCCUUUUGGAUGACAUCGCAGGAGGGAGUGGAGGGGGGGUCUCUCUCCAGGUGAUAUCUGCCAUUAGAGAAACCAGCUGUUGCCAGACUCUGCUGCUUCUCUUGGUCUGGUCACUCCCAAUCCUUGUACCAGUGUCUGAUUGCUCAGUGACGCUGGACAGGUUUGGGGGGGGCUGUGCUAAGGACUGCUGUGCUCCAUUAACUCCUGCUGAUUUCUCAUCUCAUUGAUUUUUGUGAUUACUUGUACGCAUCUUAAAUAAAACGUAGAAACAUUUGAA